Molecule: ribosomal RNA, 275 nt
Filed under: uncultured bacterium
Lineage: Bacteria
Description: partial 16S ribosomal RNA
Rfam family: Bacterial small subunit ribosomal RNA
Source: RNAcentral
CCUACGGGUGGCUGCAGUGGGGAAUUUUCCGCAAUGGGCGCAAGCCUGACGGAGCAAGACCGCGUGGGGGAGGAAGGUUCUUGGAUUGUCAACCCCUUUUCUCAGGGAAGAAGCAAGUGACGGUACCUGAGGAAUCAGCAUCGGCUAACUCCGUGCCAGCAGCCGCGGUAAUACGGAGGAUGCAAGCGUUAUCCGGAAUGAUUGGGCGUAAAGAGUCCGUAGGUGGCUGGUCAAGUCUAUUGUCAAAGCGCGAGGCUUAACUUCGUCAAGGCCGU